Molecule: long non-coding RNA, 837 nt
Organism: Ipomoea nil (Japanese morning glory)
Lineage: Eukaryota; Viridiplantae; Streptophyta; Magnoliopsida; Solanales; Convolvulaceae
Exons: 2
Source: RefSeq, a predicted model, not a curated record
AUUCAUAGGAGGUGCUUAUUCGGAGUCCAAGGUAACUAAUAGAUUCCUCUUCCUUUUGUUACUUAGUUAUUGCUACUUCAGAUUAUGUUGCACCUUGGGAAAACUGGAAGCGUUUUCCAUGAUUUUGUUGCUCACUGACUCACUGUCUGCAUUUGUAAAUGGAGAACGAAACAUUAAGAAUUGAGGGUUUUUCUAUUUUAAUGUUUUUUAGCGAUUUUCUUCCAUUAACACCGUUCUAUCCUAGAACUCUGAAAUGUGUGCAGUGUAGAAACGUGAAGCUUGGGCAUUAGCCUUGGAAUCGAAAGUCACAACAAACAGUGGAGAUGUCAGCUUCUGCAGCACUUCAACCGCCUUCACGCCCCGUAGUCCAAAAAUAGGAAGAGGUCGGUAGAGUCUACAAGACAAGACAGACACGAAACGAAAGGAGAAAGAGUUAGGUGGUAGAACGAGGAAGAAGCGAGCAACUUUAUAUUUUUGGAGUACAGUGUCACGCGGGCGAGCAACACGGCAUUGCCAACUAGGUUGUCUAACAUGAAUGUGUUAUGCCCAAGUUUGAGUUGGUGUUGUAGUAAGUCUUGCAUAUAGACAAAAGUGGUUUGUUUGUUUUUGUUUUUUAGAAUGUUUUUUUUGGGGGUUGCUUAGAUGGUUAGGCUUUAUAGUUUGCCAGCAAGGGAAUAUGCCCAAAACUUUAAAACGUGUAAAUUGAGAAAUAGACUGGUUUAGUAAUUGUUGGACUUCUUUCUUGUACGCUGCUAGGAUUUUAGGUUUUAAUUACAUGUUUUUGUUUUUGAUGAUGAUAAGGUAGAGAAAAAAAGAUCCAUAUCUUCCCAACUCCAA